RNAcentral lists this ribosomal RNA (482 nucleotides) under uncultured bacterium. RNAcentral's name for it is "partial 16S ribosomal RNA". It matches the Rfam family "Bacterial small subunit ribosomal RNA", at positions 28 to 523 of the family's 1533-position model. The record is from RNAcentral.
AUUGAACGCUGGCGGCGUGCUUAACACAUGCAAGUCGAACGAUGAUCCGGUGCUUGCACCGGGGAUUAGUGGCGAACGGGUGAGUAACACGUGAGUAACCUGCCCUUAACUCUGGGAUAAGCCUGGGAAACUGGGUCUAAUACCGGAUAUGACUCCUCAUCGCAUGGUGGGGGGUGGAAAGCUUUUGUGGUUUUGGAUGGACUCGCGGCCUAUCAGCUUGUUGGUGAGGUAAUGGCUCACCAAGGCGACGACGGGUAGCCGGCCUGAGCGGGGGACCGGCCAAACUGGGACUGGGACACGGCCCAGACUCCUACGGGAGGCAGCAGUGGGGAAUAUUGCACAAUGGGCGGAAGCCUGAUGCAGCGACGCCGCGUGAGGGAUGACGGCCUUCGGGUUGUAAACCUCUUUCAGUAGGGAAGAAGCGAGAGUGACGGUACCUGCAGAAGAAGCGCCGGCUAACUACGUGCCAGCAGCAGCCGCCG